This 88-nucleotide transfer RNA is filed under the name Hemerocallis hybrid cultivar (daylily). RNAcentral describes it as "tRNA-Ser". It matches the Rfam family "tRNA". Rfam says of the family: Transfer RNA (tRNA) molecules are approximately 80 nucleotides in length. Their secondary structure includes four short double-helical elements and three loops (D, anti-codon, and T loops). The record is from RNAcentral. RNAcentral also lists the same sequence under 10 other names. Lineage: Eukaryota; Viridiplantae; Streptophyta; Magnoliopsida; Asparagales; Asphodelaceae.
GGAGAGGUGGCUGAGUGGUUGAUAGCUCCGGUCUUGAAAACCGGUAUAGUUUCAAUAACUAUCGAGGGUUCGAAUCCCUCUCUCUCCU